RNAcentral lists this ribosomal RNA (393 nucleotides) under uncultured bacterium. RNAcentral's name for it is "partial 16S ribosomal RNA". It matches the Rfam family "Bacterial small subunit ribosomal RNA", at positions 523 to 918 of the family's 1533-position model. The record is from RNAcentral.
AUACGGACGGUCCGGGCGUUAUCCGGAUUUAUUGGGUUUAAAGGGAGCGCAGGCGGAGAUGCAAGCGUGACGUCAAAUUUCGGGGCUCAACCCCGUCUCGCGUCGCGAACUGCGUCCCUUGGUUGCGGGAAGGGGAGGCGGAACUCGUGGUGUAGCGGUGAAAUGCAUAGAUAUCACGAAGAACUCCGAUCGCGAAGGCAGCCUUCCGGCCCGUCAACGACGCUCAUGCUCGAAGGUGCGGGUAUCAAACAGGAUUAGAUACCCUGGUAGUCCGCACAGUAAACGAUGGACACCCGCGGUUUGGCCUGUAUGGCUGAGCCGCCAAGCGAAAGCGUUAAGUGUCCCACCUGGGGAGUACGCCGGCAACGGUGAAACUCAAAGGAAUUGACGGGG